CCCUUAGAUGUCCUGGGCCGCACGCGCGCUACACUGAGUGUCUGAGAUAUGAGGCAUGCCUGGUCCGGCAAGGUCUAGGUAAUCACGAAAAGGCACAUCAUGCUUGGGAUUGAUUAUUGCAAAUUUUAAUCAUGAACGAGGAAUUCCCAGUAAGCGCAAGUCAUCAGCUUGUGUUGAUUACGUCCCUGCCCUUUGUACACACCGCCCGUCGCUACUACCGAUUGAAUGGUUUAGUGAGACCCUCGGAUUCGUCCCAGCACAGUGGGUUUCUGCUGAGCUGGUGCGCGGAGAAGACGGUCGAACUUGAUCAUUUAGAGGAAGUAAAAGUUGUAACA
Molecule: ribosomal RNA, 335 nt
Filed under: uncultured eukaryote
Lineage: Eukaryota
Description: partial 18S ribosomal RNA
Rfam family: Eukaryotic small subunit ribosomal RNA
Source: RNAcentral